Molecule: ribosomal RNA, 253 nt
Filed under: uncultured bacterium
Lineage: Bacteria
Description: partial 16S ribosomal RNA
Rfam family: Bacterial small subunit ribosomal RNA
Source: RNAcentral
UACGUAGGGUGCGAGCGUUGUCCGGAAUUAUUGGGCGUAAAGAGCUUGUAGGCGGUUUGUCGCGUCUGCUGUGAAAAUCCGGGGCUCAACCCCGGACUUGCAGUGGGUACGGGCAGACUGGAGUGUGGUAGGGGAGACUGGAAUUCCUGGUGUAGCGGUGGAAUGCGCAGAUAUCAGGAGGAACACCGGUGGCGAAGGCGGGUCCCUGGGCCGAUACUGACGCUGAGGAGCGAAAGCAUGGGUAGCGAACAGG